CACAGUAUACACACAUAUAUUAUGUAAACAAAACUUUUAUUUUGGAUGUGAUUAAUCGUGAUUAAUCAUUUGACAGCCCUAAUUAAUACAUUAACAAUAUUAAGUACACUGUAAAAAUGAUUUUUUCAUUGUAAAUAAAGCAGAUUGUUGGAGUACCUUUUACAAGAAAAUAGCCUACUAUUUCAGUCUUUUUACUUCAAAUUUUCACAUUUAACCCAAUGUGUUAUUUUGUUUUGUUGUAAUUAAUUGUGCAAUUUACUAGCAAUUUCUGAGAGAAAAUUUUAACACAAAUUUAGUUUUUGGAAGUGAAAAACAACAUACCACCUUAGUUUACAGUGAAAAAACAUAAGAUAAUUCCUUAGAGUUUCUACAAGGCUUUCUCAAUUACCACCUGUUUUUAUUUUUAGUAGUUAUAUAAAGGUACAAAAUUUGUAACGUUUAUAAAUAUUAUAUCAGUUAAUGAAAUGGGCUAUAUGUUUUUUUUAACUGUAAAUUUUGCCAUGGAUGUGUUCAUAUAGUUUUAUUUAAUUCACCUGAAAUUGUAUUUGAGACACAUAAUGAGCAUAGAUGUUGAGGGAGACGUGUCCAAUAUUCAGAGUACUAUUCAAUCAAUUUAGGUUUUCAAAUUGACUGAUCAUUCAAUUUUAAUAAAAGCAAGCCCACCGCUACUAUCUAGUAGUAUCAAACAAACUAUCUGUCACAAUUUGCUGCUGCAUAAGCUUUAGCCAAAUAUGAGAUUGAAAAGCACUGCAAAGCAAUAAUUAUAAACAAUUUGGGAAGAUGUUUUAAUACACAUCUCAAGAUCAAGGUUACAAAAUUUAAAAAAUGACAAUGUCUUUUAGUUUUAAAAGUCACAUUAACCAAGAGUUUAAAUGCAUUAGUACAUAAUCUGAGGGCAUUUUAGAUAAUUAAAUCUCCUGCAGGCAAUCAAGGCCUUUAGUAGUGCUCCUCACAACCUUUCACCCAGCGUGACAUCUUACGCCCCUUACAGUAACUAUCCCAGGUGUCCCUGCAGACACAAAGAUCAACAUUACAAUUAUGUCAAAAACGCACAUGCACAACAGAUCAAUAAACUAGAUAUAAUGCAGUGAUAGACAUAGCUUGAGGCCAAAUUUCUAAAGGGACAAGCGACCUUUGUUAAUGAGACAAAUAAGCUUUGUCAGUUGUGCCCAAGGAUAUAUGCAAUGAAUACUUGCCAUGAUUUCAGUCCUUCGGUUUUCACAAUGAGCUUUGCACAUUUAACCGAAGCUUUCAGGUCAUCCUGAAGCAAAUCUAUCAAAUGGGAAACAUGUAUAAACAAAAAUGUAAUAUCAAAGUUUAAAAGCACAGAUACAGUGGAGUCAGUUUCUGAGUGAAAACUGUUUCUACACCAAUUGUUUUGUGAGAAUAACUUCUGAAACAAAUAUUUAUACAAUUAAUUGUAUUUUUUUUUUUAUUCUAAAUACAAUUUUGAAUCAUAUUUUUCAGACCCCCACUGUAUUUCAUGCAGCAACAUCCAAAUAAUUCUGGUCAAUUUUUAACUACUAGUCCACUUUAAUACAAGUAGUGUUCAAUAUGUUUUUUGGUCACAUGAAAUAUAUUUCAAGAUAAUAAAGUACCUGAACAGGGCAUUUUGCACAAGUUUUUUCCACCUGGAGUGCCAUCUUCGCACCAUUUGAAACUGUUUAUCUGGAAGAUCCCAUAGUCUUUCCCAGUAUCAGCUGAACGCACUUUGUGGGUCUUAAACUUGCUUUCCCAGUAGGCCGUGCACACAUCUUUGCCUAGCGAGAAUCCCUCAAAUCCAUCAAGUCCCUCUUGCUUGAAGAUACGGGCAACAUCACAGCGACCCAGCCUUCGGCUCUCACACGAGCACAGCCACAUCAGACACAAGACCGCAAUCGCCACCCUCAUUUCUGCACUGCUGCUCAGAAAAUCAGUUAGUAUCUGCUAUCUGAAGAGGAGUUCAGGUGGAGGGUGGAAGCUGUAGAGUGGGAUUAUUUAUAAGUCAAGUGAAAGGUUUGUGUCGCAACCAAUUUUUCACAAGUGCAUGUAGUUUGCAGUUGCUUCAGAUAUGGCUGCUGAGGCAAUAACUGACUUAGUGCUGUUCUAUUUUUACUUCUAAAAGGAAAAAACAUCUAUUUUAUGUGCAGAGAAACUCUAGAAAAAACUAAAUUGAACAUAAGACAAUAU
Cyprinus carpio carpio is the source of this 2169-nucleotide long non-coding RNA. Lineage: Eukaryota; Metazoa; Chordata; Actinopteri; Cypriniformes; Cyprinidae. The record is from Ensembl.